UCCUACAACAAUUAUGUGCCACAGUUUGAACUUCAAAACGGAAAAAUUUCAAUGAAGACAUCAGAGGGAUUAUGCAUUGCCAGUUACAUAGAGAAAAGGAAUCUGAAUACCAGUUUCAAAGAUUUGAAACAACUGUGGGGAAGCAAUCGUACAGGAAUAUGGACCGGAGUAAUUGGAGAGAUUGAAAGAGGUGAAUCUGACUUGGGAAUACCUUUUUUGGAUACACAGUAGAAAGGUCAGCUGUUGUAAAAUAUUCACAAGUUCUCAGUGUUAUUAGCAUAGUCUGGGUAUCCAAGUAUCCCAAGAGAGCAGCUUCAUUUACCAAUGUCCUGCAGGU
Molecule: long non-coding RNA, 337 nt
Organism: Eurytemora carolleeae
Lineage: Eukaryota; Metazoa; Arthropoda; Copepoda; Calanoida; Temoridae
Exons: 5
Source: RefSeq, a predicted model, not a curated record